This 253-nucleotide ribosomal RNA is filed under the name uncultured bacterium. RNAcentral's name for it is "partial 16S ribosomal RNA". It matches the Rfam family "Bacterial small subunit ribosomal RNA", at positions 524 to 776 of the family's 1533-position model. The record is from RNAcentral.
GACGGAGGAGGCAAGCGUUAUCCGGAAUCACUGGGCGUAAAGGGCGCGUAGGCGGCCUAGCAAGUCUGGUGUGAAAGCCCAGGGCUCAACCCUGGAAGGGCACUGGAAACUGUUAGGCUUGAGUUCCGGAGAGGAGGGGGGAAUUCCCGGUGUAGCGGUGAAAUGCGUAGAUAUCGGGAGGAAUACCGGUGGCGAAGGCGCCCCUCUGGACGGAAACUGACGCUGAGGCGCGAAAGCGUGGGGAGCAAACAGG